AUAAAGAACCAAUCUCGAUGAAAUAUUAUGACAUCUGAGAUUUGCUUCAAACUAUUCAGCACUGAGAGGGGAGAGGAGGAGGGGAAAGAGACAAAAUAAAACAGACUAUGAUUUGAUCACUGAUAACUGUGGAAGCUGGACUACAGAACAAGGACUAAAUUUGGAGUUCAAACAUGCCUGCCCACACCAAAAGGGGUGCUACAAUUCUGAAGCAACUUUGACUUGCAAGCAACUCAAGGAUGAGGCAGCCUCUUCAUCUUUACAUGCACCCGCCAGACUCAACAUGAUGCUAUGCACCUAAGGGCUAUCUAUCCACGGAGGCUUGGAAAACACUUCUAACUACAACAUUUUGAUUUCAUUAAAAUACCACCAAUUCAUGCUUUACAAGACUUUGUGAAUCCAGGAAAGAAGGACACCGUUAUGUCUAUUUUCAGGUAUAUUCCAUUUAAAGAAUUCUUAUAUUGGGCAUAAACUUGUCAAAACUCUGACCGAAGACAGCUGUCAGGUUCAGUUCACCAUAUGUGGGUCUGGAGAGAACCUGGAACCGCAGAAGGCCUGAGAGGAAAGGACCAGUACUCCUCCAAGUCAGACUCCGUCAUCUCUCUUCCAAAAGAUGUCAACAACCUAACCCAUCUCUCUGCCACUAGACCACCUAAUGACAGUAACCUGCUUUCACCACACUGUUCCUAUACCAUCCUUCAAGGCAGCUAGUUGUUCUGUCCACAAAGCCUUCUCAGACAAUCUUUCCUUCUCCUCUCCCAUCAGGGCUAUCCAGCCAGCGUGCCUCUCUAUGCAAACCACUCCCUCAGAAAUCUGUGCACAGCCCUACCCUGCUCUUAGCAAAAGCAUUGUAACAUGUCCUAAUUAUGUGUCUGUCCUCCUAAGACAGAUAAGGUCCCUGAAGACAAGAAAAAUGUCUUAAUCAUCUUCUCGUGUCAGCAUUCAGCACAGUGCCUGGCACACAGCAGAAACACAGAAAAUGUGCAUCUGAAUGAAUAGAGCCAAGUCGCUGUCCUCCUGUCUUCCCAACUGCUUGCGCUCCUCCUUGGGGGGAACAUUUUCCCAAAGUAUGGCUCCAUCUCUGCUGACCUGCUCUGCUAAAAUGUUCCCUUCCCUGCACCUGAGCUUGCUCUUUUACACCAACACGAGUGUGUCAGUGACCCCUAAAACCACCAAUUCUCACAAGCACCCAACCUUCUCUGCUCAGCAGCAGUGGGCUAAUGAGGGCUGAGCUUGCUAUUUUGAUAAGGAUAAACAUUAACAUAAAAGAGACAAGAAUGCAAAAUAAAAACUCCUUCAGUAUGAAGACAAUCUGGUGGAGAGUGUGUAAAUGAAGAGGGGGAGACAUAGGAGUUAGGAAGAUGACUGAAUGGUUCUCAAGUGUCACAAAAGUAGUGGUCUCUCCCCUCUUGGAAAUCUUCCGUGGAAAAGUCUCAUUUUAGACAAGAGAUGUUUGCUCCCCCUUUGGGAAUAGAUUUCUAACAUUGCAAAGAGAGCCAAUGGGGAAACAUGAUGGAUUGUUACUGAAAUUCACUUUAUAAUUAACUGUACUGUGACAGUGUUGUACAAAGCUUAGGAUACUUAUUGGAAGAAAAUAGCUAUAUUAAUCAAGGCUUGCAAGCAUCAAUCUGACUUACUGGAAGCAAAUCUGAAAUGAAGGUUUUCCUUCUGACUUUUCUUUUGUGCGGAAUCUCUUCCAUUUCAUCAUCUUCCAUCAAAGCGUCAUGGUUGGCGCUCCCUAGUAUGUCCUCUGUCUCUGCAGCGGCUUCUAACCUCUGCUUUUCGGCCUCCUGCAUUCGGAUUACUAUCUCACCAGCAUCCAGGUCCAGAACUUCAGACAAGAUCUUCAGUAUGGCAUUUAUGAUUUCUGCCUGACUCUUGGAUGGAAUAAUGUCCUUUAGGUUCCAAAUUGUGCCUGAGGGGAAAAUGCACAUAAGCACAAAGGACUUGCCUGUGAAAGCUUGUAUUAAAUACAGUUUCUGCAAGAUUGGUUCUUUUAAGCUCAGGUGUAAUUUCAAAAAAAGAAAUCCCAAACCCUCUGCCUGUGUUCAGUUUUUAUUAAAUGUCAAAAAGAAAGAAAGAAAGGAAGAAAUAAAGAAAAAGAGAAAGAAAGCAAGCUUUGCACAGAGGCAGCUCCCUUUAUUACAGUCCUGCAUAAUCAUCUCUCUUCCUUGACACACAAUGCCUCUCGUACACACCGCACAGCAACAGACAGAGAGAAUACUGAUCAACUUUCACAUGAAAUGACAAAUGAAGUUGCCUCAUUCUUUCAUUUUAACCUGAGCUGCCCUCUAGGCAGUUUCUUAUAUUCCAAGAGAGGAAUGAAAUGCACUAAAUUUCCAAGGUCUCAUGGACAAACCAAAGAGUAGGUUCUUGGUUUUUUGCUAAUUUAUCAAAAGAGAAUAGAAGCUACUAUUAAGUAAACAGACAGAUGAAAACAACAACAAAAAAGCCACUGUAAAAUAAAAAUAUAUCCUGGAUAUGAACUCAAAAGAAUUGAAAGCAGGGACUUAAACAGAUAUGUGUACACCCAUAAUCACAGCAGCAUUACUCAAUAGCCACUGACCCAAGUUCCCAUCUGCUAAUGAAUGGUUAAAUAAAAUGUGACACAUACA
This is a long non-coding RNA of Canis lupus familiaris (dog), 2615 nucleotides long. RefSeq lists it as uncharacterized. The record is from RefSeq and is a predicted model, not a curated record. The transcript is spliced from 2 exons. Lineage: Eukaryota; Metazoa; Chordata; Mammalia; Carnivora; Canidae.